GGAGCCGGCCGAGCAGUCGCUGGGGGUAACCCCGGAGGAAAGUCCGGGCUCCAUUGGGCAGGGUGCCAGGUAACGCCUGGGGGGCGCGAGCCCACGGAAAGUGCCACAGAAAAUAUACCGCCUGGCCUUCGGGCUCGGUAAGGGUGAAAUGGUGCGGUAAGAGCGCACCGCGCAGCUGGCAACAGUCUGCGGCAGGGUAAACCCCACCUGGAGCAAGACCGAAUAGGGGAACGUUGAGUGUGCCCACACGAGUUCCCGGGUAGGUCGCUAGAGAUUCACGGUGACGUGCGUUGUAGAUGAAUGACUGCUCUCGACAGAACCCGGCUUACAGGCCGGCUCCCACC
Molecule: RNase P RNA, 344 nt
Filed under: Gammaproteobacteria bacterium
Lineage: Bacteria; Pseudomonadati; Pseudomonadota; Gammaproteobacteria
Description: RNase P RNA component class A
Rfam family: Bacterial RNase P class A
About the family: Ribonuclease P (RNase P) is a ubiquitous endoribonuclease, found in archaea, bacteria and eukarya as well as chloroplasts and mitochondria.
Source: RNAcentral